RNAcentral lists this long non-coding RNA (205 nucleotides) under Vigna radiata. RNAcentral's name for it is "long non-coding RNA (VRAD_LNC003348)". The record is from RNAcentral. Lineage: Eukaryota; Viridiplantae; Streptophyta; Magnoliopsida; Fabales; Fabaceae.
UCGGGGGGUUGAAACCAGUAAUUACUGGCAACAAAUUGAGGGAAGAGAAAGUCGAAUUGAAAGUAGUAAUAACUGCCAGCAAACACUGGCAACCGCUGAUGGAUAUUGAUGAACCAUGCACUCAAUAGCUUAGCUAAAACUAUUUCUUAUGUUGUACGUGAAGAUAUGUAAAUGCAAUCUUCGCAUUGAUCUCACAAUGUAAGGG